Hemicordylus capensis (graceful crag lizard) is the source of this 819-nucleotide long non-coding RNA. RefSeq lists it as uncharacterized. The transcript is spliced from 3 exons. The record is from RefSeq and is a predicted model, not a curated record. Lineage: Eukaryota; Metazoa; Chordata; Lepidosauria; Squamata; Cordylidae.
UGCACAUUCCAAGGCACACCCAGGAGAAUUAAUAUAAUAGAUUUGAGUCAAAGGACCAGGUUUCAGGACAAUUCAGUAUGGAAUGAUUUAGAUCAGACUCUUACCAACAUUUUUACUUCUUUACUGAUCCAUUCAUUUUAAUAGCUGUUGAUACCAGUGCCAAGAUAGGGCAAAGGAACUGCAUAAGAGAUUGCAUCACCUGUUUCCCAAGGGUUCUGAGUUUUCAGCUAUUGAAUCCUACUUCUUUUGAUCAGUCGGCAAAAGGACAUUCACAUUGCCUGGAUUGAACCACUUAUUAAAAAAAGAACAUGCCAGGUCAAUCAGAAGAGUAUUAUACUUCCUUUCUUCUGGCAGACCAGUAUACAGCAAUUACAGCUGGAGUAGCAAGAUUCUGUGCUGCAGCAUGCAAACUGAAGAUGGGAGCUGUUGAUUAAUUGUAAUUGCGACCUCUCUAUGUAAAUGUUUUGAUACUCUAUUACCCAGUCCUGCUUUUGAUUUGAUUUUACUUUAAUUUUAUUUUCCAUUUUAUUUUUUGAUUGACAGUCACUGAUUGUAAUAAUGAAUUCAUUUAUCCUCGUUAAACAGACAUGAAGUCUGGGGCUACACCAAGUUUCACAAACAAAGUAAAAUAUACUUGUCCUAAAUUAUUUGGCAUACCUAAGAGCUACAUAUAAAAGGAAGGACAAAACUUCCAGUGUUGUAUUUAACAACUGACUGAAACAAAAACAUUGUAAUGAAGAUUAUGUGCCAUGCCUAGCAGAUUCUCCAUUUCCAUCUUAUGUAAAUAAUAAAAUUGUUCUUACUUGUUUUACACUCUAA